Molecule: long non-coding RNA, 745 nt
Filed under: Zonotrichia albicollis (white-throated sparrow)
Lineage: Eukaryota; Metazoa; Chordata; Aves; Passeriformes; Passerellidae
Description: lncRNA (ENSZALG00000006067.1)
Source: RNAcentral
UUCCCUGAAACAAAUCAUACUUUGGGGAUAAUUUCUGGAAGAUCUGCCCUGAAGCUGGAUGGGAGGAAGGUCAAAGCCACCUCCAUUGCAAAGCUGCAGCAGUGACCCCACAAAGGGAACAUCAGUCCCAGAUGGCUUCCAGCACUGGGAAUUCUGAAGACCAGACGGAAAAUAUUCCUCAGUGGAGCCCCAGGAUUUGAGUGACACAACAACAAUAUUCCCUCCAAGCGUGUGGGGCAGCCAGGUGAGAGAGGCUUUGCUGGCACCGCCAGGGAUGCGCUGAUGCUGGCUCCUGGCCCCGGCCGGAGGCUUCGAAGCACACGAUGCUUUCCAAAGUGGGAUUGCACCUGGAGAUUUGCACCUUCUCCAGCCUGGAAGGAGCAGCCAGAAUGGCAGUGCCUUGCUGAGGCUGUGCUACAACAAGUGCCCAGAUCCCAAAAAAUGGAAUAACCCCUUCAAGGCUCCCCUCUGGAUGGGAAAACACUGCUUGGUUCAGCUUUGCAUCAGCACAACUCUUCCCCCAGCACAUCCUUUGGGACAGGCAUGGAGCAGCUCUUUGGGAAGCUCUGUGAACCCCUUGGUUUGUCAUGGCUGCUCCUGGGCAGUGAUGGCACAGGCAGCUUCCCUAAAAGAAAGGUCAGCCACGAGGUCACUCCCUGUGGACCAGAGCUCAGUGCUGCCCAUCUUACCCUUCAUGGAGAACACUGGACAAGAGGAGUUGAGGCCACCACCCUGUCUGCUGUGA